GCUGGGCAUUGGGGACGCAUGCCUGUAAUCCAGCAGCUCAGGAGGCUGAGGCAGGAGGAUUAUAAAUUUGAGGCCAGCUUCAGCAAUUUAGCAAAACUCUGUCUCAA
RNAcentral lists this small RNA (107 nucleotides) under Marmota monax (woodchuck). Lineage: Eukaryota; Metazoa; Chordata; Mammalia; Rodentia; Sciuridae. The record is from RNAcentral.